GUAACGGUGUCUUUAGACACCACCCUUUUUGAAAUUUUUUAUUCCU
Non-coding RNA from Picea glauca (white spruce), 46 nucleotides. Lineage: Eukaryota; Viridiplantae; Streptophyta; Pinopsida; Pinales; Pinaceae. The record is from Rfam.